This 254-nucleotide ribosomal RNA is filed under the name uncultured bacterium. Its description in RNAcentral is "partial 16S ribosomal RNA". It matches the Rfam family "Bacterial small subunit ribosomal RNA", at positions 524 to 777 of the family's 1533-position model. The record is from RNAcentral.
UACGAAGGGGGCUAGCGUUGCUCGGAAUCACUGGGCGUAAAGCGCACGUAGGCGGAUUGCUAAGUCAGGGGUGAAAUCCUGGAGCUCAACUCCAGAACUGCCCUUGAUACUGGCGGUCUCGAGUCCGGGAGAGGUGAGUGAAACUGCGAGUGUAGAGGUGAAAUUCGUAGAUAUUCGCAAGAACACCAGUGGCGAAGGCGGCUCACUGGCCCGGUACUGACGCUGAGGUGCGAAAGCGUGGGGAGCAAACAGGG